RNAcentral lists this ribosomal RNA (492 nucleotides) under uncultured bacterium. RNAcentral's name for it is "partial 16S ribosomal RNA". It matches the Rfam family "Bacterial small subunit ribosomal RNA", at positions 29 to 507 of the family's 1533-position model. The record is from RNAcentral.
AGUGAACGCUGGCGGUAGGCCUAACACAUGCAAGUCGAACGGCAGCACAGUAAUAGCUUGCUCUUACGGGUGGCGAGUGGCGGACGGGUGAUGAAUACAUCCGUAUCUACUUUUUCGUGGGGGCUAACGUAGGGAAACUUACGCUAAUACCGCAUACGACCUACGGGUGAAAGCAUCGGAUCUUCGGACCUUGCGCGAUUGUAUGAGCCGAUGUCGGAUUAGCUAGUUGGCGGGGUAAAGGCCCACCAAGGCGACGAUCCGUAGCUGGUCUGAGAGGAUGAUCAGCCACACUGGAACUGAGACACGGUCCAGACGCCUACGGGAGGCAGCAGUGGGGAAUAUUGGGCAAUGGGCGCAAGCCUGAUCCAGCCAUACCGCGUGGGUGAAGAAGGCCUUCGGGUUGUAAAGCCCUUUUGUUGGGAAAGAAAAGCAGCAGGUUAAUACCCCGCUGUUCUGACGGUACCAAAAGAAUAAGCACCGGCUAACUUCGUG